Molecule: ribosomal RNA, 482 nt
Filed under: uncultured bacterium
Lineage: Bacteria
Description: partial 16S ribosomal RNA
Rfam family: Bacterial small subunit ribosomal RNA
Source: RNAcentral
GACGAACGCUGGCGGCGUGCCUAACACAUGCAAGUCGAACGGAACUGUUUUGACAGAUUUCUUCGGAAUGCAUUUGAUUUCGUUUAGUGGCGGACGGGUGAGUAACGCGUGAGUAACCUGCCUUCAAGAGGGGAAUAACAUUCUGAAAAGAAUGCUAAUACCGCAUGACAUAUCGGAACCACAUGGUUUUGAUUUCAAAGAUUUUAUCGCUUGAAGAUGGACUCCCGUCCGAUUAGUUAGUUGGUGAGGUAACGGCUCACCAAGACCGCGAUCGGUAGCCGGACUGGGGAGUUGGACGGGCAAAUUGGGAAUGGGGAACGGCCCAGACUUCUUCGGGGAGGAGGAGGGGGGGAUAAUGCGAAAUGGGGGCAACGCUGAAGCAGCAAAGGCGGGGGAAGGAAGAAGGGUUUCGGAUUGGAAACGCCUUUUAUUAAGGAAGAAAAAUGACGGUACUUAAUGAAUAAGCUCCGGCUAACUACGUG